GCUAAGAGAUCUGCCCAAAGACGAUUACCACGGGUCUAUUUAACAACCAUUCCCAGAUUGAAUCGAAGAUCGGCAUCUAUGGUAUUAUCGAAAGAGGACAAAGGACGGCCAAGGACCAAGAACAGUCUCUUUCCUGUGCUAUCAAGAACGAAAAGAAGGACGGGAAGGAGCAGGAAUUGCGGGAUGCUAUAGAGAUAGAUGGCUAUGAGACUAGUCCAAAGAGUCACUUUCUAAAGCUUCCUCUCCUCUCUUAACGGAACAAAUCGUCGAUUUCAAACUGAACUAGCCCUUUUUUGCCCACCCACUUACCCCC
RNAcentral lists this long non-coding RNA (313 nucleotides) under Rosa chinensis. RNAcentral's name for it is "sRNA RchiOBHm_MTg0498931". The record is from RNAcentral. Lineage: Eukaryota; Viridiplantae; Streptophyta; Magnoliopsida; Rosales; Rosaceae.